This 467-nucleotide ribosomal RNA is filed under the name uncultured Anaerolineaceae bacterium. RNAcentral describes it as "bacterial SSU rRNA". It matches the Rfam family "Bacterial small subunit ribosomal RNA", at positions 902 to 1382 of the family's 1533-position model. The record is from RNAcentral. Lineage: Bacteria; Bacillati; Chloroflexota; Anaerolineae; Anaerolineales; Anaerolineaceae.
CAAAGGAAUUGACGGGGACCCGCACAAGCAGCGGAGCGUGUGGUUUAAUUCGUUGCUACACGAAGAACCUUACCUGGGUUUGACAUAUAGGUUGUAGGGAACUGAAAAGGGACCGACCCUUCGGGGAGCCUAUACAGGUGUUGCAUGGCUGUCGUCAGCUCGUGUCGUGAGAUGUUCGGUUAAGUCCGCUAACGAGCGCAACCCUCGUCGUAUGUUAUAUGUGUCAUACGAGACUGCCGGUAAAAAGCCGGAGGAAGGUGAGGAUGAUGUCAAGUCAGCAUGACCUUUAUAUCCAGGGCUACACACACGCUACAAUGGUCUGUACAAUGGGUAGCCAAGCCGCGAGGCGGAGCCAAUCCUGAAAGCAGGCCUCAGUUCAGAUUGCAGUCUGCAACUCGACUGCAUGAAGCCGGAGUUGCUAGUAACCGCAGGUCAGCAAUACUGCGGUGAAUACGUUCCCGGAUCUU